RNAcentral lists this long non-coding RNA (918 nucleotides) under Pan troglodytes (chimpanzee). Its description in RNAcentral is "lincRNA". The record is from RNAcentral. Lineage: Eukaryota; Metazoa; Chordata; Mammalia; Primates; Hominidae.
GCAUAUGACACCCCCAGUGCUUGGUUCAAACCUGUUUGAGUCACCUGUCACUUUCUACCUUGAAUUUUUGUCACCAAUGUACAUGCAGUAACUUCUAUACUAGACUGUGACUCAGACGCUCACAAUCACACUCAAACACAGUCUAGUGUUUUUCACAGCCUGGUAUAGAAGGUACUGCCUGUACAUCAGAACAGGGGAGCAGGAGCCUGAUCUGAUUUAUUAUGAAGUCUCCCAAGGCCUCCAGCGCACAGUAUCAGGCACACAGGAAACAAUCAAUGAUUAAUGUGUGCUUCCUCCAUCCUAUGAGAAAUAUUACUUAGGUCUCUUUAUGACGAGUGGCCAAAAAGCACAAAGCCGAAUCUGAUGCUUAUUAAUAGUAAUCCCAUACAUGCUGUAAGCCCUGCAACAACUAUCAUUAUCCAUGUUCUGUUUUUCAAUGGAGGUGUAAUUUACAUACAGUAACAUGCACACAUCUUAAGUGUAUAGCUUGAUGAAUUUUUACCUAAAUGUACCUCCUGGAAACCACUGACCACACAAACAUCUAUGUCUUUCCAUCACUCUAGAAAGCUUCCUUUUUCCCUUUUCCCAGUCAAUUAACCCCCAUGCCCCUCACACUCCAGUGAACCACUAUUCUGACUUCUACUCCCAUAAACUAGGUUUGCUUGUUUGUGAACUUCAUAUAAAUGAAAUUGUACAGAAUGUACUCUUGCAUCUGGCUUCUUUCUCUUAACAUAAUGUUUUUGAGAUUUAUCCAGGUGAUUUUGAGUAUCAGUUUAUUCUUUCUUUUUUUAAUCUGCUGUGUAUUAUUCCAUUGUAAGAAUAUGCCAUAAUUUGUUUAUCCAUUCUUCUAUUGAUGGACAUUUGGACCAUUUCCAGUUUGGGCAUAUUGUGAAUAAAGCUGCUAUGAAUACUGGUGUA